ACGAACGGAACGGUGCGCGACGCGCGCGGAUUGACCUCUAGCACGUAGAUCUCGCCGUCCUUGAUGGCGUACUGCACGUUCAUCAGGCCGACGACGUCGAGGCCGAGCGCGAGUUCGCGUGUCUGGCGUUCGAGUUCGGCAAUCACCGCAGGCUCGAGCGAAUGCGGCGGCAGCGAGCAGGCCGAGUCGCCGGAGUGAAUGC
This 202-nucleotide unclassified non-coding RNA is filed under the name Hevea brasiliensis (rubber tree). Lineage: Eukaryota; Viridiplantae; Streptophyta; Magnoliopsida; Malpighiales; Euphorbiaceae. The record is from RNAcentral.